GCAUUCCCAAUUUUAGGUGGCAGUCACAACUCAUACUAUUUGGACAGAUGGCACAGAAACCGCUGCGCCUCUUGGCUUGUGGAGAUGUUGAAGGAAAGUUUGAUAUUUUGUUCAAUAGAGUUCGAGCAAUUCAGAAGAAAAGUGGAAACUUUGAUCUGCUGUUGUGUGUAGGAAAUUUCUUUGGCUCCACCCCAGAUGCUGAAUGGGAGGAGUAUAAGACUGGCAUCAAGAAAGCUCCUAUUCAGAUAUAUGUGCUUGGUGCUAAUAACCAGGAAACAGUAAAAUAUUUCCAGGAUGCUGAUGGAUGUGAAUUAGCUGAAAACGUUACUUAUCUGGGUCGUAAAGGUAUCUUCACUGGAAGCUCGGGGCUGCAGAUUGUGUACCUCAGUGGCACAGAGUCCUUAAAUGAGCCAGUACCAGGUUAUAAUUUUAGUCCCAAGGAUGUGUCUUCUCUGAGAACGAUGCUGUGUACAACCUCCCAGUUUAAGGGCGUUGAUAUCUUGCUCACAUCCCCGUGGCCCAAGUAUGUGGGGAACUUUGGGAAUUCUUCUGGAGAAGUGGAUACCAAAAACUGUGGUUCUGCUUUGGUUUCCAGUCUUGCCAUGGGCUUGAAACCAAGAUAUCAUUUUGCUGCUUUGGAAAAGACCUAUUAUGAGAGGCUUCCAGAUCGAAACCAUAUCGUUCUACAGGAAAAUGCACAGCAUGCCACCUGGUUUAUAGCUCUGGCAAAUGUUGGAAAUCCAGAAAAGAAAAAGUUAUCUUUAUGCAUUUAGUAUUGUUCCCUUGAAGCUGAUGGAUGCAGCAGAACUGGUAAAACAGCCUCUGGAUGUCACUGAAAACCCUUACAGAAAAUCUGGGCAGGAAGCAUCCAUAGGAAAGCAAAUUCCUGUCCCUGUGGAAGAAUCAGCCUGUCAAUUUUUCUUUGAUUUAAAUGAAAAGCAGGGAAGGAAGCGUUCAUCCACAGGUAGAGAUAGCAAAUCUUCUCCUCACCCAAAGCAGCCUCGCAAACCUCCUCAGCCUCCAGGACUCUGCUGGUUUUGCCUUGCUAGCCCUGAAGUGGAAAAGCAUUUGGUGGUCAUUAUCGGCACACAUUGCUACCUCGCCCUGGCCAAAGGAGGCUUAUCUGAUGACCAUGUCCUCAUCCUGCCCAUUGGACACUACCAGUCAGUGGUGGAGCUUUCAGCAGAGGUGGCUGUCAGAAGAGGUGGAGACUCCCUGAAGGCCACCACCUGAGAUGCGUUCGUUUAAGGAUCGAGGCGCCAAUGCGUGUGUUGUAUUGCGAGAAUUAUAAGAGCCGCAAUCACCUCCAGCUAGCACGGUCUUCCUGUCCGGCCAGCUGCUGUGCUACUGAAUCGACAUUUAAGAGAUGCCGUUCAUAUACCCAGCCCCAGCGGCAGCAGAUAGAGCUGGUUGGAAAGAUCCCAGAGCAAAACUCUGAAUUAAGCACAGAGUGCACAGCAUAUUUUUAUUUUGACACUUGACACGGACUCUGAAGAAAAAGCUUUCCACGAAUUAAAACGAAUUUUUCGCUUUGGCAGUUUGGAAAGGGGAGGUCCUGGCCAGUGAAGGCACUCUUAAUAUUCCGGUAGCUGACUGGACGGCAGUGCAGAUCAGUAAGGAAGACGAGGAGACCCUGGCUGCCGCUUCCGGAAAGACUUUGAGCCCCUAUGACUUACUCUGGAUGAACUAAACACAAGGUAA
Molecule: RNA transcript, 1701 nt
Organism: Cercocebus atys (sooty mangabey)
Lineage: Eukaryota; Metazoa; Chordata; Mammalia; Primates; Cercopithecidae
Gene name: CWF19-like protein 1 pseudogene
Exons: 1
Source: RefSeq, a predicted model, not a curated record